Artibeus jamaicensis (Jamaican fruit-eating bat) is the source of this 645-nucleotide long non-coding RNA. RefSeq lists it as uncharacterized. The record is from RefSeq and is a predicted model, not a curated record. Lineage: Eukaryota; Metazoa; Chordata; Mammalia; Chiroptera; Phyllostomidae. The transcript has 4 exons.
UGACUGGCUUCCUUCAUCGUGGAUUGCGGUUGAUUUCAGCGUUCACCCCUUUCGGUCAGAGAGGAUAAUUGGAACUAGGGGGGACAAGUGGCAGGCGGUGCACAGACACCUUCCGUGAUGAAAUCCCACCACUUUCUCUUCAGGACUUGUUUUAAAAUAUACUGGAGCGGAGAUGGCUCUGGUGACCACAGUGAUGUCGAGAUGAGGUGAUACCGGCCUGGAGUAACUGUCUGUGGGUUUCUUGUAGCUGCUGUAGGAGAGGGCAGGGAACUAAUUUACCCGUAACCCAAAGAGAAGAUGGAGUCAGUUAGCCACGCCUGAUUUCAGACCAGCUCUCUCUGGAAAGAAGCGAUGAAUGAGUGCGUGUCCACCGGAGGAAAGCCCCUGGUGCUGUGUCCCCGGCUGUGCUCCCAGACCCGUGAUGGGCAGCGGCAUGAAGAUAGGAACUGAUCUAACGCCCGGUAAAAUGAAGAUUAAAGCCUUCCUUGACCACCCCCGGAACCCAGAGCUGCCCCCUCCCGAAUCGUUUACAGGAUGACACUCCAACCAACUGAGCCACACUGGGCAAGGCUAGGCUCCAUCUUGCUCCGCCUCUCUGCACACAGAAGGGUGUUUUUCCCGGUGGACAGAGGAAUAAGCUGGGGU